This is a long non-coding RNA of Megalobrama amblycephala (Wuchang bream), 423 nucleotides long. RefSeq lists it as uncharacterized. The transcript has 3 exons. The record is from RefSeq and is a predicted model, not a curated record. NCBI's taxonomy places the organism in Eukaryota, Metazoa, Chordata, Actinopteri, Cypriniformes, Xenocyprididae.
UUGACGCAAGUAAAAAAAGAUGAUAGACACAAUGUUGCAAUUGAUGCAUGCAGGUAACAUGUUAAUGCAAGUAGAAACCACAUGUGUGUAAAUGAAGAGAUAAAGUGUAUCAAAAGUGAAUAUAAAAACACUUAGAGCUCUCUGAUAUGUGUAGAAGAUCUGUUGAAGAGAGAAAGAGCUUACAAGCAAGCAGCAAGCGGAAGCCAGCUAAAGACCACAACCCUCAGAAGAUCAAAGACACAUGUUUUUCAAAUUCUGAACAUAUACUGAGUAGAGAAGAGGGAGUGCGCCAGGAGAGAGAUGCAGAGAGCGGCACUACUAUGGCAUAAUGAAUCAAAUAACGAAGCAGGCUGAAGUAAAACGCAGCAACAGGUAAGGAUUUUAAACAGCACAACAUUUUUCAAAGGAUCAUGUUUUUCUGAG